ACGAAAAUAAAAUAAGAAGAAAUAAAUUUAACUUUUCAUUUUUUUUAAUACAUUUUUUCCCUAUAUAAUUUCAUCGAAAAAUCUAUGAUAUGUGGAAUUUGUAUGCGAAAAAUUUUGAAAAUAGAAACACACUUGCUAUGUUGUUUUUGUUGCCAAAAAAUAUACAUUAAGAAAUUACAGAAAGAAAAAGAAAUCAAACGAAGUGUUCCAUAAGCUCCUAAUCUAAUCGAAUGAACAAAGAGCUUGCCCAAAAUCCUAAUUUAAAACCCCCAAAAAAACCCAACAAAAAAUUGUACACUUUCAAUUCUUAUAGACAGAGAUUGAGGAUAGAGAGAGAGAGAGAGCGCAACUUUCCCAAAUUAUCUCCGUCAAUCUCUCUCCCAAAAUGACAACAAAGAUCCAAUCAAACAAAAUUCCAAAUCUAAGGCGGCCCAAAUCUUCUCGGCUCCUCCAACCAGC
Molecule: long non-coding RNA, 459 nt
Filed under: Actinidia chinensis (golden kiwifruit)
Lineage: Eukaryota; Viridiplantae; Streptophyta; Magnoliopsida; Ericales; Actinidiaceae
Description: long non-coding RNA (ACHI_LNC003654)
Source: RNAcentral